This 76-nucleotide transfer RNA is filed under the name Acidobacteriota bacterium. RNAcentral's name for it is "tRNA-Thr". It matches the Rfam family "tRNA". Rfam says of the family: Transfer RNA (tRNA) molecules are approximately 80 nucleotides in length. Their secondary structure includes four short double-helical elements and three loops (D, anti-codon, and T loops). Further hydrogen bonds mediate the characteristic L-shaped molecular structure. tRNAs have two regions of fundamental functional importance: the anti-codon, which is responsible for specific mRNA codon recognition, and the 3' end, to which the tRNAs corresponding amino acid is attached (by aminoacyl-tRNA synthetases). tRNAs cope with the degeneracy of the genetic code in two manners: having more than one tRNA (with a specific anti-codon) for a particular amino acid; and 'wobble' base-pairing, i.e. permitting non-standard base-pairing at the 3rd anti-codon position. Lineage: Bacteria; Pseudomonadati; Acidobacteriota. RNAcentral also lists the same sequence under 2 other names. The record is from RNAcentral.
GCCGGUGUAGCUCAGUUGGUAGAGCAACGGUCUUGUAAACCGUAGGUCACCAGUUCAAAUCUGGUCACCGGCUCCA